Molecule: ribosomal RNA, 510 nt
Filed under: Triticum aestivum (bread wheat)
Lineage: Eukaryota; Viridiplantae; Streptophyta; Magnoliopsida; Poales; Poaceae
Description: partial small subunit ribosomal RNA
Source: RNAcentral
AUGGCACUGGCACACUCUUCCACCGCCACCAUAUGUGGAGGCCAGGCUCCUGGGUACAAGCCUAGCUGCACCUACAAAAUCCGCUCCUGCACGGUGGUCCGCAACAAAAUCUGGAUAUCUGCCAGUGGCAUUGGCACCUACUCCUUCAACACGGACAGCCACGAGUGGAGCUAUGUUGGCAGCUGGGAGCUCCCGUUCCGUGGCCCUGCUGAGUUUGUGCCUGAGCUGGGCCGCUGGCUUGGAUUCUCCACCGUGCGAGAGAACCAGCACUACUUGUGUGCUUCAGACCUCUCCACUGCUGCAGUACCCACCCUGUGUUGCGAUUGCGAAUGGAAAGAAGAGCUUGAUGCUAACCCUGACAAGUGGCAGGUGGUGACCUCCUACCUUGUGCGCGUGGACUAUGGCAGGUUCUGCGUUGCCAGGCUAUACGACGUCUAUGAUGACCAAGGACGAGCCUGCUUUGGUAAGGGAGAAUUUUGCUGUGUUGACGGGGUUGGAGGCGGGGCUUAG